UAGGAGAUCAAGAUCAAGAUCCCCAUUUUAAGGAGUUAGGAAGGUGGGAUUGUAUACCCUGAGAUCCAGAAAGAGACUCAGGUUUUGUGACGCCUAACUAAGGCUUGUACACCUCGGCAGACCCACUUUAAGAAAAGUUAUACCAGCUUACAAAUUAGGUACAAGGGCUUGGCACAGACCUUGAAGCUUCAGCGUCAUUAGCUUCAUGGUCAAUGCUCCAUUUCUGCUAAGACUUGAAAAAUAAGUAGGAAUUAGCCAGGCGAAAUAGCUGUAGGAACAGAGAGCUGGCCGAGGACCCGACAAACGCAGCAACAAAAGUCCGGGGUGGGAGGGCGGUCUGGGAGCUCCAGGAAGUUUUGGAGCCCUGGACGAGGAGUUAGAAGUGGCCAACGGGGACAUGAGAGAGGGUGGUGAUGAGGGGUCAGGUAAACCGAGGCAGGGAGUGUCAACUUUUCGCGGAGAGCAACAGAGAGCCACAGAGAGUUUGGGGAAGGGGUGUGACAAGGUCUGAUUUGCAUUUUUGUUGUUGUUUUUCAGAUUUGCAUUUUGGACCCUCACGGCCACCACAGUAAGGGGAGAGGACUGAAAAUCAUGUGAUUAUUCCCCCCCGACCUGACCUCCAUUUUCUCUGUCCUCCUCCUAAGUUGAUCUUUGUUAACACAGGAGCUGAGUACCCUCGGAGCCGGGCACAUGGACCCAUGCUGGACCACGUGACCCUCCAGGUGGCCCUGUGCUCACACGUCCUCAAGGAGCUGAGAAUACUCUUACCUGGAGGAAGCAGGUGGAUGGAAAGUGGAGAGAGGAAGAAGCAACGUGCCCAAGACCUUCUCCAGAGGCCGAGGUGGUUUCCGGAUGGAGUCGAGUUCUUGCAAAUCAAAGACAAACCCCGGAGCAAGAUGGACAAUGAGGGUUGUCUCAAGGGGCUCAGCGGAGAUGCCAAAAAAGAUCCAAAGGACCUUGAAAGCAGACAAGCGGGAGAAACUGGAAGCAUACGGGCCUCUCACAGUUGUGGCCUCUCCCGUUGCGGAGCACAGGCUCCGGAUGCGCAGGCUCAGCGGCCAUGGCUACGGGCCCAGCCGCUCCGCGGCAUGCGGGAUCUUCCCGGACCAGGGCACGAACCCUUAUCCCCUGCAUCGGCAGGUGGACUCUCAACCACUGCGCCACCAGGGAAGCCCUCUUGGACUCUUUAAUCAACAGAAAUUGUCUAGUUAACGCUGUAAAAACCCAUCAUGAGGAGAGAUCUCAUCUGGACCCAGCAAUCUCAGUUCUAGGAAAGAACCUCCGCUCACGUGCAUAAGACAAUAGGCAUAACAGCCAAGGACCUCAUCUGACAUUGCAGGGGCCCCUGUGCUGUGUCAAUCUCACUGUCCCACUGUUUACAGCUUUGCAAAUGUGGAGUGGCUGACACUUUCAUGCCACCUUGUCCCUUUGGACCGCACGGACCUCCUUCCUGAUCCCUUCACUCAGAGGGUACAAAGGUAUUUUACUAGCCUGACCUUGACUGGCCCAGUCCCCUUCCCAUGAGGUCUGGGGGCUGUUCUUGCUUCUCUAAGAGGUUGCUUGUUUUUCCCAGUUCUCACCCUCCCUGCAUCCAUGCCCUUAGCAUGUGGCUUUCACAGCGCCUCCUGCUGGAGGUGGCAUGUAUUUCACUGCACACUGACUGGGCGUGGCCUGUGGACGUGACGUCACACCAGUUCUGAGCCUUGACCUUAAGAGAGCUCGCGUGUUUUAACCCUCCUGUGCUUCUGACUCUGCCAUAACAGGGACAGGUAGUGGCUGUCCCUUCAGCAUGGGCCCCAGAGCAAGACAAGCAAGGCAGAGCUACCCCAACCAACUCACAAUCUACAGCUGUCACCCCUGCUGACUUGCAGGUACAUGAACAAGAGGGAACACUGAGCUUUGGUGUGGUUUCUUACGCAGCCGUUGCUAACUAAUACAGCUCUCUACCCUCUGUGUUCCUCUAGCCUCAUAGAAGAAAGGAAACUAACAUUUUCUAAGCACCUGCCAAGUGUUUUCACAUACAGUAUUAUAUUUAAUUUUUCAAAUGUCCUAUGAGGUAGGCAUUCUUUUUCACGUUCUACAGACAAGGCACCUGAGGCUCAGAGAAAUUAAGUAACUUAUCCGAAGUUAUCAUUUUAGCAAGUGACAGAAUUAGGAUUCCAAACCAGGUUUUCACACUUCAUGAGAAACACCACUUGCACUGCCGAAUCCUUUAUAGAAAUCAGAUGAGGUCACUGGAGCAUCUGAUUGCCAUCUCCAUGGCAGGUAAUUAUAGGUUUUGUACCCCAACGUGAAUUCAUCAGGGGAAAGAGAUAGUCACCUCAUUGUGUAUAAACCAGAAGGAAAAACUGUUUUAGCAUUGUGUAAGAUGGGAUCUGGCACCGCUGUCACAGAGGAAACUCACCCUAAUACUUAGGUCAAUAUGAAUAAUG
This is a long non-coding RNA of Globicephala melas (long-finned pilot whale), 2432 nucleotides long. RefSeq lists it as uncharacterized. The record is from RefSeq and is a predicted model, not a curated record. NCBI's taxonomy places the organism in Eukaryota, Metazoa, Chordata, Mammalia, Artiodactyla, Delphinidae.